AACGAACGCUGGCGGCAGGCCUAACACAUGCAAGUCGAACGCGCGUAGCGAUACGCGAGUGGCGCACGGGUGAGUAACACGUGGGAAUCAACCCUGAGGUUCGGAAUAACCGCGGGAAACUGCGGCUAAUACCGGAUGUCCCCUAUGGGGGAAAGAUUUAUCGCCUUGGGACGAGCCCGCGUCCGAUUAGCUAGUUGGUGAGGUAAUGGCUCACCAAGGCUAUGAUCGGUAGCUGGUCUGAGAGGAUGACCAGCCACACUGGAACUGAGAUACGGUCCAGACUCCUACGGGAGGCAGCAGUGGGGAAUAUUGGGCAAUGGAGGCAACUCUGACCCAGCCAUGCCGCGUGGGUGACGAAGGUCUUCGGAUUGUAAAGCCCUUUCGGCGGAGACGAUGAUGACGGUAUCCGCAGAAGAAGCCCCGGCUAACUUCGUGCCAGCAGCCGCCGU
This 449-nucleotide ribosomal RNA is filed under the name uncultured bacterium. Its description in RNAcentral is "bacterial SSU rRNA". It matches the Rfam family "Bacterial small subunit ribosomal RNA", at positions 29 to 521 of the family's 1533-position model. The record is from RNAcentral.